UUAGACGAGUACAUUGUAACAAAAGGAAAAAAGAGAGUAAUUCUCAUAAUUAAUAAAUACUAUAUAUUGAUGUUAGGUUGAGAGGCCAUGAAAUAAACGAAAUGAAAGGCUAACCAUAGAAAUAACACCCCAUGAAGACUAGGUCAAACAUGUUUCAUUACAGAAAUAUGGGAGAUUUUGGAUAUAAAGUAAGGGUGGCUACAGAGAAAGCUAAGGAUAAGGCAUAUAAAGCCAAGAAAUGUAUUGUCAAACAUGGAGGCAAAGCUGUUGGUGCUUGUAAGAAUGGUUGGGCCAAACUCAAGAAAAGCAUUAAAGGAAAGAAUAGGAGAGUAGAAUAUUUAGGUGAUCGCCAUUAAAUCAAAUUGAAAUAUUAUUUGUGGUUAAAUUAUAUGAUUAUUCUUGAGGCUUGACCAUUUAUUGUCUUAUGUUAAGAUGGCUUUGUAAUAUUGGUUAUUAUGUUAUGCAACUAGCAUAUGUUGUUAUAUUACAUAAUGUUUCACCCCUAUAGAUUAA
Medicago truncatula (barrel medic) is the source of this 513-nucleotide long non-coding RNA. RefSeq lists it as uncharacterized. The record is from RefSeq and is a predicted model, not a curated record. Lineage: Eukaryota; Viridiplantae; Streptophyta; Magnoliopsida; Fabales; Fabaceae. The transcript is spliced from 2 exons.